Molecule: long non-coding RNA, 999 nt
Organism: Oncorhynchus tshawytscha (Chinook salmon)
Lineage: Eukaryota; Metazoa; Chordata; Actinopteri; Salmoniformes; Salmonidae
Exons: 2
Source: RefSeq, a predicted model, not a curated record
UAGUUAAAUAAAGGUAUAAUUUUUUUAUUUUAUUUUUUAAAUCGGCAAAUCGGCGCCCAAAAAUACCGAUUUUCAUAACAAUCUGAAACUUGAAAUCGUCCCUAAUUAAUCGGUCGACCUCUAAUUUCUAGGCCUACUAGUAAAUCUUCUUUGUCAUUCUAAGCCUCUGUCAUUUGCAACAUUUUUUAUUAUCUUGAUGUCAAUUUAAUUUGAAUCUGAAAUGGCCAUCACUGACAUAUUUUAGUUGAUUAUUAUUUAUUAUCAGAAUGAACUAAUGGGAACCGGUACUUCCAGCCACGUAGGCUAAUACUGCCUUAUAGUUUAAAUAGAGGGGAAUGUUUCGGCAGUCUGAUUCAGCCUUUUGAUGAUCUACUUGUCACAUUUCCUGUCUGCUGUGUAGGUCAUUUAUUGAAAUGAUUUAUAAUGUCCAUGAUGUGAAGUAUUGGCUUUGUGAUUCAGACAAAUCUAUGGUUGAAAUGCUGCGGGUACUUCUUGACUAUCAGUACAAUGAUAUGAGAGUACGUCUGUAGCUCUGAAUCUCUGGGAAUAACAGCCUUUAUAUCAGCCAGCCUUGGGCUCAGUUCCAUUUCAAUUCAGGAACUAAAACUGAUAUUGACAUUUAUUCUCAAAGCUUUUUAAUGAGGAACAAUGUAAUUGGAGUUUCAGUUUCCUACCUGAAUUUAAAUGAAACUGACCCCCAACGCUGUAUAUCAGUAUUUAACUAUUGACUACCAUUAACUUCUCUGUAUUCAUUGUACAUAAUGUAAAAUGGAGAUGGUCUCUUUCUUUGUACAAUUCAUUAUCCUGGAGCUGACAAAACACGCAGGUUUGUAAUCCCAAAUAACACCCUAUUACCUACAUAGUGCACUACUUUUGACCAAAGCCCUAUUUGACCCUGGUCCAAUGUAGUGCACUAUAUAACGUAUAGAUUACUGGAUGUACUUAUGAUAACUCAGAUCAUUUUAACGUGAGAAAUUCCAUAAAUAUUUUUAACAAUCA